This 408-nucleotide ribosomal RNA is filed under the name uncultured bacterium. RNAcentral's name for it is "bacterial SSU rRNA". It matches the Rfam family "Bacterial small subunit ribosomal RNA", at positions 355 to 760 of the family's 1533-position model. The record is from RNAcentral.
UGAGGAAUAUUGGUCAAUGGGGGCAACCCUGAACCAGCCAAGUCGCGUGAAGGAUGAAGGUCUUAUGGAUUGUAAACUUCUUUUAUACAGGAAUAAAUUGGGGGACGUGUCCCCUUUUGCAUGUACUGUAUGAAUAAGGAUCGGCUAACUCCGUGCCAGCAGCCGCGGUAAUACGGAGGAUCCGAGCGUUAUCCGGAUUUAUUGGGUUUAAAGGGUGCGCAGGCGGGAUGUUAAGUCGGCGGUGAAAUCUUGCAGCUCAACUGUACAAGUGCCUUCGAUACUGGCCUCCUUGAGUGUGGAUGAAGUAGGCGGAAUUUGUGGUGUAGCGGUGAAAUGCUUAGAUAUCACGAGGAACUCCGAUUGCGCAGGCAGCUUACUAAGCCACAACUGACGCUCAUGCACGAAGGC